AAUUUUUAUAUAACGAGUAGUAAUAGAUAAUAAAACUCAUAAAGCUUGACAGUUAUACUUAAUUAAAGAAACUUGUUUUAUAAUCGUCAACACUCGAUAAAUUUAACUCUUAUACAAAGCCUACAUACCGCCGUUACAGAAAUUAUAUAAAUCAUAUUUCACAUUAAAACACUUUAAAAAAUCAGGUCAAGGUAUAGCCAACAUUAAAGUAAAAAUUAGUUACACAUAAAAACAAUUUAAGGAAACAACAGCCAAAACCACUCAUAAAGAGAAUUUACAUACAAUUAUACUCAAAUUAAAAUUUUAUAAUGAAAAACCAUAGCAUAAUGU
RNAcentral lists this ribosomal RNA (330 nucleotides) under Mesabolivar sp. Br14-25. Its description in RNAcentral is "partial 12S ribosomal RNA". The record is from RNAcentral. Lineage: Eukaryota; Metazoa; Arthropoda; Arachnida; Araneae; Pholcidae.